RNAcentral lists this long non-coding RNA (430 nucleotides) under Lathyrus oleraceus (garden pea). RNAcentral describes it as "Pisum sativum (pea) long non-coding RNA (PSAT_LNC010626)". The record is from RNAcentral. Lineage: Eukaryota; Viridiplantae; Streptophyta; Magnoliopsida; Fabales; Fabaceae.
CAAAACAUUUCACGGAUCCAUUGAAACCUCUCCUUCCUAAUCUUUCUCCCAAGGCAACCAAAAUAAACCUCGAGGAAACGCCGCCUAUGCCCCCUCUACCACCUAUGCAGUGGAUAACGAGCAGGGUUCAAAAUGCUUCCCUAGUUUCAGAGAGAGAAGAAUUAGGUGUAAGUCAAGUAUUAUUUCAACCAGUACAGCAAGUUAAACCUGAUUAACACCUAUGCAGUGGAUAACGAGCAGGGUUCAAAAUGCUUCCCUAGUUUCAGAGAGAGAAGAAUUAGGUGUAAGUCAAGUAUUAUUUCAACCAGUACAGCAAGUUAAACCUGAUUAUAACUCUCAAUUUGACUUAUCAACUUCUGAAAGAGUAGCCUUGCCAUAUCAGAAUCCUUUUUUGCCUGCUGUGGCUGUGGAGAGUAAUAAAAGCCUACGC